This 407-nucleotide long non-coding RNA is filed under the name Brassica napus (rape). Its description in RNAcentral is "long non-coding RNA (BNAP_LNC002178)". The record is from RNAcentral. Lineage: Eukaryota; Viridiplantae; Streptophyta; Magnoliopsida; Brassicales; Brassicaceae.
AAUAAUAGAUUUUAUAAAUAUAAUUUUUUUUAUCAUGCGUAUUAAAUACUAAAACAAUUUUUGCAAGAAUGUACACCAAAACCCCUGAUGAAGAACUUCACAUACUUCGCGGAUUAUUUAGAUUUUAAGUAAAAUUAAAAAACAAUAAAACUAUAUAUUUAUAUGAUCCUAGCACUAAAAGAAUAAUAUUUAUACAUAAUGUUUACAACGACGAGAAUAAUCAAUAGAAGGUUUGUGAAGAAGUUCAUGGUAUUGAAUGCAACUAGCCAACUACCACCCCUGAAAGCCAUUUCUAAACACCGUGUGUUGCAUUGCAUACUCUGGUACCAUGCGCUUACUCUUGUACCAAUUUUUGACUCUUUACAAUAGUCAAAACACGUCUGACAUUGAGCGUUAAUUUUCAUCUC